AUUGAACGCUGGCGGCAUGCCUUACACAUGCAAGUCGAACGGCAGCGGACCUUCGGGUGCCGGCGAGUGGCGAACGGGUGAGUAAUAUAUCGGAACGUACCUUUCAGUGGGGGAUAACGUAGCGAAAGUUACGCUAAUACCGCAUAUUCUGUGAGCAGGAAAGCAGGGGAUCGCAAGACCUUGCGCUGAUUGAGCGGCCGAUAUCAGAUUAGCUAGUUGGUGAGGUAAAGGCUCACCAAGGCGACGAUCUGUAGCGGGUCUGAGAGGAUGAUCCGCCACACUGGAACUGAGACACGGUCCAGACUCCUACGGGAGGCAGCAGUGGGGAAUUUUGGACAAUGGGCGCAAGCCUGAUCCAGCCAUGCCGCGUGAGUGAAGAAGGCCUCGGUUGUAAGACUCUUUCGG
Molecule: ribosomal RNA, 405 nt
Filed under: uncultured bacterium
Lineage: Bacteria
Description: bacterial SSU rRNA
Rfam family: Bacterial small subunit ribosomal RNA
Source: RNAcentral